This 21-nucleotide ribosomal RNA is filed under the name Piper sasaimanum. RNAcentral describes it as "partial 26S ribosomal RNA". Lineage: Eukaryota; Viridiplantae; Streptophyta; Magnoliopsida; Piperales; Piperaceae. The record is from RNAcentral.
CCAAGUCAGGUGGGACUACCC